UCAGCCAAGUGCAUUAACAGU
RNAcentral lists this non-coding RNA (21 nucleotides) under Caenorhabditis elegans. Lineage: Eukaryota; Metazoa; Nematoda; Chromadorea; Rhabditida; Rhabditidae. The record is from RNAcentral.